GGGCUGGUGGCUCAGUGGUAGAGGUCUCGCCUUCCAUGUGGGAGACCCAGGUUCGAUUCCCAGUCAGUGCA
This 71-nucleotide transfer RNA is filed under the name Loxodonta africana (African savanna elephant). It matches the Rfam family "tRNA". From Rfam's summary of the family: Transfer RNA (tRNA) molecules are approximately 80 nucleotides in length. Their secondary structure includes four short double-helical elements and three loops (D, anti-codon, and T loops). Further hydrogen bonds mediate the characteristic L-shaped molecular structure. tRNAs have two regions of fundamental functional importance: the anti-codon, which is responsible for specific mRNA codon recognition, and the 3' end, to which the tRNAs corresponding amino acid is attached (by aminoacyl-tRNA synthetases). tRNAs cope with the degeneracy of the genetic code in two manners: having more than one tRNA (with a specific anti-codon) for a particular amino acid; and 'wobble' base-pairing, i.e. permitting non-standard base-pairing at the 3rd anti-codon position. The record is from Rfam by way of RNAcentral. Lineage: Eukaryota; Metazoa; Chordata; Mammalia; Proboscidea; Elephantidae.